CUGAAGGAAAGCACAUACAGUAUCUGAAAAGCCAGUGAAGAAAAUACAUACAGCAGAUCAUAUGCCUGAGACAUUACUGAAGGCUGGAUCCUGUGAGGUAUUCUGAGAGCAUUCUGACACUUAACGGUGGUGGUCAGAACUUCUGAGGAUUACCCCCAAGUGAGAAACUACUGCACUUCCACGAGUAAAAAUAAGUGUGUUGACAAUUCAUCUCGUACAGUAUGGGAGAUGUUGAUUCUUUCAGCUCUGCUAAUAGUGGAACAGGAGGAACUAAAGCUAUGUUGCAGACACUAACUGGACUACAAUUUCAGCUCUGAGGAAAGAUACAGGAUCAGGAGCGGAUGGACAAACAC
Molecule: long non-coding RNA, 353 nt
Organism: Trachemys scripta elegans
Lineage: Eukaryota; Metazoa; Chordata; Testudines; Emydidae
Exons: 3
Source: RefSeq, a predicted model, not a curated record